AGAGUUUGAUCAUGGCUCAGGAUGAACGCUGGCGGCGUGCCUAACACAUGCAAGUCGAACGAAGCCCCUUGUGGAAAUCUUCGGAUAGGAAUAAGGAAGCUUAGUGGCGGACGGGUGAGUAACACGUAAGCAAUCAACCUGUAACACACGAAUAACUAAGAGAAAUCUUAGCUAAUACGCGAUAAGCUAGCAAAAGCGGGAGUUUUAGCUAGAAAAGCUGAGGCGGUUACAGACGAGCUUGCGGCUGAUUAGCUAGUUGGUGGGGUAAGAGCCUACCAAGGCGACGAUCAGUAGCCGACCUGAGAGGGUUACCGGCCACAUUGGAACUGAGAGACGGUCCAAACUCCUACGGGAGGCAGCAGUGGGGGAUAUUGCACAAUGGGCGAAAGCCUGAUGCAGCAACGCCGCGUGAGUGAAGAAGGUAUUCGUAUCGUAAAGCUCUGUCGUAUGAGGAGAAAGAAAUGACGGUAUCAUACAAGAAAGCCCCGGCUAACUACGUGCCAGCAGCCGCGGUAAUACGUAGGGGGCAAGCGUUAUCCGGAAUUACUGGGCGUAAAGGGUGCGCAGGCGGUAAUUUAAGUCAGAGUUAAAAGGCAAGGGCUCAACCCUUGUACGGCUUUGAAACUAAAUUACUUGAGUAUAGGAGAGGAAAGUGGAAUUCCCAGUGUAGCGGUGAAAUGCGUAGAUAUUGGGAGGAAUACCAGUGGCGAAGGCGACUUUCUGGACUAAAACUGACGCUGAGGCACGAAAGCAUGGGUAGCAAACAGGAUUAGAUACCCUGGUAGUCCAUGCCGUAAACGAUGAACACUAGGUGUCGG
This 818-nucleotide ribosomal RNA is filed under the name uncultured bacterium. Its description in RNAcentral is "bacterial SSU rRNA". It matches the Rfam family "Bacterial small subunit ribosomal RNA", at positions 8 to 826 of the family's 1533-position model. The record is from RNAcentral.